UGGGGAAUAUUGGACAAUGGGCGCAAGCCUGAUCCAGCCAUGCCGCGUGAGUGAUGAAGGCCCUAGGGUUGUAAAGCUCUUUCACCGGUGAAGAUAAUGACGGUAACCGGAGAAGAAGCCCCGGCUAACUUCGUGCCAGCAGCCGCGGUAAUACGAAGGGGGCUAGCGUUGUUCGGAUUUACUGGGCGUAAAGCGCACGUAGGCGGACUUUUAAGUAAGGGGUGAAAUCCCGGGGCUCAACCCCGGAACUGCCUUUGAUACUGGAAGUCUUGAGUAUGGUAGAGGUGAGUGGAAUUCCGGGUGUAGAGGUGAAAUUCGUAGAUAUUCGGAGGAACACCAGUGGCGAAGGCGGCUCACUGGACAAUUACUGACGCUGAGGUGCGAAAGCGUGGGGAGCAAACAGG
Molecule: ribosomal RNA, 404 nt
Filed under: Actinomycetes bacterium
Lineage: Bacteria; Bacillati; Actinomycetota; Actinomycetes
Description: Actinobacteria bacterium partial 16S ribosomal RNA
Rfam family: Bacterial small subunit ribosomal RNA
Source: RNAcentral